GACCCUGUUGAGCUUGACUCUAGUUU
Molecule: non-coding RNA, 26 nt
Filed under: Drosophila melanogaster (fruit fly)
Lineage: Eukaryota; Metazoa; Arthropoda; Insecta; Diptera; Drosophilidae
Also listed under: 4 other names
Source: RNAcentral